RNAcentral lists this ribosomal RNA (244 nucleotides) under uncultured bacterium. RNAcentral's name for it is "partial 16S ribosomal RNA". It matches the Rfam family "Bacterial small subunit ribosomal RNA", at positions 1257 to 1500 of the family's 1533-position model. The record is from RNAcentral.
GCGAGUGUGAGCGAAUCUCAAAAAUAACGUCUCAGUUCGGAUUGUAGUCUGCAACUCGACUACAUGAAGCUGGAAUCGCUAGUAAUCGCGGAUCAGAAUGCCGCGGUGAAUACGUUCCCGGGUCUUGUACACACCGCCCGUCACACCAUGGGAGUCGGUAACACCCAAAGUUGGUAGUCUAACCGCAAGGAGGACGCCGCCUAAGGUGGGAUUGAUGACUGGGGUGAAGUCGUAACAAGGUAAC